This is a long non-coding RNA of Salarias fasciatus (jewelled blenny), 242 nucleotides long. RefSeq lists it as uncharacterized. The transcript has 3 exons. The record is from RefSeq and is a predicted model, not a curated record. NCBI's taxonomy places the organism in Eukaryota, Metazoa, Chordata, Actinopteri, Blenniiformes, Blenniidae.
ACGGUCUGUGGUUUAAGGAUCUUCCUUCAUCUUCAGCUGGGAAGCCACAAACGCCGUCCAGGGACCGUGGAUAAAUUGGUAAUGCAUACAGAAGGCAGUGGAGUGUCGUGGAAAAACGCGUUGCUUUCAAUUCAUAACCUAUUCCCUCAGCUCAGUCGGGGCUUAAGAACCUUUUUCAAACAUUAUCGCCGCUGACUUUACCGUCUCUUCCCAGAAAUCAAUUUCUAAAAGAAGCCCUCCAU